This 1153-nucleotide long non-coding RNA is filed under the name Anolis carolinensis (green anole). Its description in RNAcentral is "lncRNA (ENSACAG00000033248.2)". Lineage: Eukaryota; Metazoa; Chordata; Lepidosauria; Squamata; Anolidae. The record is from RNAcentral.
ACAGUUUAUACCCUCAUGUGUUGUUGUUUCUAGAAAUUUAGUUAGUGCACACUUCUUGGACUAGAACACAAUAUGCAGUAGGAAACUGAUAAACUUCUAUGCCUUUGUCAGUUCCACAAAGAAAAAAAGUAUUCCGUAUGUGCACAGAUCAAAAACCAGGAAAGAAUAGAACUCUGUGUACAGAUAUAUGUGGAUGUGCUUGAUCAAAGAAGCAUGUGUAUACAAAGAGUGAUUCAUCCCUCCUCAAGCCCUUGGAAAAUGUUGGCAAAGAUGUCUACAAACAUCCUUGAAGUGGGAUGAAUGAUUCCCAGGGAACUGGAAUGGUAUGAGCUUGGCAGUGGAAAAAUCAGAACUUCAGUGAGGAUGAAUUUGGUGGUUUUGUGUAUCUUAGCAGAAAUGUAUGUAUAGUUUCAUGUUGUAUGAAGUACAUACAUCAGGAUGUGAUCACCCAGCAUUUGGAAAUCCUUCCUGGGGCUUUUAAGAACUGAAAGGGCCCUAAGCAUAGCUUUCCAUCCCGAGACAGACGGAGCCACAGAAUGGAUCCAGAAGACCCUUCAUCAGUUUCUCCGUUGCUAUAGCACAUAGCAACAAAAUUAAUCGGCCUCGCUUCUUCCCUUUACAGAAUACUGCAUUGAUAAUUCGGACCACGCCUCCACUGGAGUCUCACAGUUUAAGGUUGUAGAGGGUAGGGAUUUCCCACCAUUUCCAGCAUUACUUAAGGACCCACCCGCCGACGCAAAGCCAGGAGACUGGAGGGAGAAGAUUGCUGCCUCUUGGCCUUCGAUUCAAAAUGCACUGCAUUCGGCUAAGAUGGAUUACAAAAAACAUGCGGAUAAAAAGAAAGCAGCACACCUGGACUUUAAGGGUCAUCUUCGCGGAGGGAGGAGUCAUGUCAGGAUGUGAUCGCCCAGCAUUCACACUAGCUGAACUAUUUCCAUCCUGCCAAAAGCAAUUGGGGUGGAGAUAACCUAAAUGAUAAGAACCAUCUGGCUAGGAGGAUUGAUUUAUGGCCAUGAUCUGGUUUUCAAACCUGGGAAAGGACUAUCGACAGACAAGUGUGAAUGUGGAAGGGGGCUGGGGGGGAGUAGUAGGAUAUACUAGGGUCCGGGCGGAAGUUGAUUAGUAACAGCUUUGUGCUCGUCUUGGCAAGAAG